This 393-nucleotide long non-coding RNA is filed under the name Gossypium raimondii (Peruvian cotton). Its description in RNAcentral is "long non-coding RNA (GRAI_LNC003013)". Lineage: Eukaryota; Viridiplantae; Streptophyta; Magnoliopsida; Malvales; Malvaceae. The record is from RNAcentral.
GCUGUGCGAGGGAGUUGCGGCGCCCUAGGGUUUCUGGAAGCUAUUUAGGGCUAUUAGUGUUUGGGCUUAUUGGGCCCGGUGUAAUUGGGUUUAAUUUGGGUUUUAAUUGGGUUUGGUAUAAUUUUGGGCCUUUAAUUUUUGGUUUGUAACUGGACAUUUUGGUUUUCAUUAUUUAUAUUUUGUAUUUUUUUAUUUUGUUUAUUUAUUUAAUUUUUUAUUUGAUUUGAUUCAGUAGGUAUGGCUCGAAAGCACAUAUGUUUCAGUAGAUUCGGUAGGUGUGGCUCGAAAGCACUUACGUUUCAGUAAAUUUAGUAGGUAUGGCUGGAAAGCACAUACGUUUCAAUAGAUUCUAUAGGUAUGGCUCGAAAGCACAUAAGUUUCAGUAGAUUCAAU